Long non-coding RNA from Lathyrus oleraceus (garden pea), 854 nucleotides. RefSeq lists it as uncharacterized. The transcript is spliced from 2 exons. NCBI's taxonomy places the organism in Eukaryota, Viridiplantae, Streptophyta, Magnoliopsida, Fabales, Fabaceae. The record is from RefSeq and is a predicted model, not a curated record.
AGUGUGAAUUGGAAAAAAUUUGGGCCUGCCUAAGCCCAAGCUUCCUGCAGCUUGAUCUGGGUCCGCACAUCCAACACCAACUCAGCUUCAUGCCAUGGUUACAAAGACUUAUUAACGGCGCAACAUGUUUCAUCCUCGAUUCCACGCAUCACGUUCAAUAUGAGCUCUUCUUCCCCUUCGAUUCAAACAAAUCGAUCAAAAAAACAAGAGGGAAACUACUUCAUAUCGAACUCGUCGAUUGCAAACGACCUCGUUUGUUUUCCGAUUCGUGAUUUUACACCUUAUCACCGUGAAAUCUAUCGGUCCAGAUGCAGUUCGAGUUACAUAGUCAUAACUUCGAAAGGAACGCGAUGCCACAUCGAAGUUCAUGAGUAAAUCAAUGGCAAUAAAUUAAGAUAAGGCGGCAAAGGAAGUACCAGGUCGGCGCAGUGGCUCUUCGGAGACAACGUCGACUUCCAGGACCACCGUUUGCAGUAUCGAUGUACUGAUGCAAUGGCUUGUGGUGUUCAAUGCACAUGUUGGUUGCUGUCAUGUUCACCUGCUCAUUUGCAAUGUUUGGUAACAAUGUUUUCAUUAUCUCUGUUAUUUGGAUGGUUGUCUGUUUCAUUCUCCUCCACAUCUAUCAUGUUAGGACCCAAUAGAUUCUGACAUUCAGGAGGGCAAUUUCUAAUAGAAUCCCUCUUCUUCGGGUUCACUAACUCCUUGCUCGAAUGAGGCUUACAGGAAAUGUUAGAGAUAUCAUAAUUAAUAUCAAGAAAAUUUGGUCUUUUGGUUUGGAAUUGUAAAUCAAUGGUUGAAAUUGGAUUAUGGACUUUGAUUUAAUGGUAGUACAUGAAGCAUUGUAUUUGUUUGAA